AGAGUAGAUCAAGCGAUCGCAGGAUAAACCCCAAAAAAGGGUUGUCUUGAGGAAAGUCCGAACACCAUAGGGCAGGACGCUCCAUAACGUGGAGUCGCGGCAACGUGAAGGAAAGUGCAACAGAGAGCAGACCGCCAGCUUUAUAUUGUUUAUCAAACUUGAUUAUCAAGUUGAUUUACUGAUAUGGUGCUGGUAAGGGUGAAACGGUGCGGUAAGAGCGCACCAGUUUUUCAGGUGACUGAAAAAGCUUGGUAAACCCCGUUCGGUGCAAGACCAAAUAGGGAGGCGUUUGAGGGCUGCCCGCCUGAAGCCUUCGGGUAGGUCGCAUGAGGUGUGCGGCAACGUACAUCCAAGAUGAAUGAUCGCUGCUUUAUAUUUUUGGCAACUAAAUAUAAAGAACAGAAUUCGGCUUACGAGCUGCUCUCACC
Molecule: RNase P RNA, 428 nt
Filed under: Desulfamplus sp.
Lineage: Bacteria; Pseudomonadati; Thermodesulfobacteriota; Desulfobacteria; Desulfobacterales; Desulfobacteraceae
Description: RNase P RNA component class A
Rfam family: Bacterial RNase P class A
About the family: Ribonuclease P (RNase P) is a ubiquitous endoribonuclease, found in archaea, bacteria and eukarya as well as chloroplasts and mitochondria.
Source: RNAcentral